AACCUGCCCUGUACUGUGGAAUAAUCAUUGGAAACGAUGACUAAUACCGCAUGUGGUCCUCGGAAGGCAUCUUCUGAGGAAGAAAGGAUUUAUUCGGUACAGGAUGGGCCCGCAUCUGAUUAGCUAAUUGGUGAGAUAACAGCCCACCAAGGCGACGAUCAGUAGCCGACCUGAGAGGGUGAUCGGCCACAUUGGGACUGAGACACGGCCCAA
This 213-nucleotide ribosomal RNA is filed under the name uncultured bacterium. Its description in RNAcentral is "partial 16S ribosomal RNA". It matches the Rfam family "Bacterial small subunit ribosomal RNA", at positions 123 to 334 of the family's 1533-position model. The record is from RNAcentral.